Molecule: non-coding RNA, 250 nt
Organism: Chelonoidis abingdonii (Abingdon island giant tortoise)
Lineage: Eukaryota; Metazoa; Chordata; Testudines; Testudinidae
Source: RefSeq, a predicted model, not a curated record
GACAGGGUGCCCCUACCUCCAAGGCAGUGCCUGGCUCCGGUCUGACCCCUCUCCCUGCUGCAGGAAGGUGAUGGAGCUGCUGCACACCUUCUCUGAGAGCAAGAGGCUGACCACAGACAAGGCCAACAUCAAGGACCUGUCCCAGAUGCUGAAGAAGAUGCCCGAGUACCAGAAAGAGCUGAACAAGUACUCCACGCACCUGAACCUGGCCGAGCAGUGCAUGUGGCACUUCAAAGGAUCGGUGGAGAAG